UACGGAGGGUGCGAGCGUUGUCCGGAAUCAUUGGGCGUAAAGGGCGCGUAGGUGGCCCGGUCAGUUCGUGGUGAAAGCGCGGGGCUCAACUUCGCGUCGGCCAUGAAUACUGCUGGGCUUGAGCACUGUAGAGGCAGGCGGAAUUCCGGGUGUAGCGGUGGAAUGCGUAGAGAUCCGGAAGAACACCGGUGGCGAAGGCGGCCUGCUGGGCAGUGGCUGGACACUGAGGCGCGACAGCGUGGGGAGCAAACAGG
Molecule: ribosomal RNA, 254 nt
Filed under: uncultured bacterium
Lineage: Bacteria
Description: partial 16S ribosomal RNA
Rfam family: Bacterial small subunit ribosomal RNA
Source: RNAcentral